This is a long non-coding RNA of Cebus imitator (Panamanian white-faced capuchin), 906 nucleotides long. RefSeq lists it as uncharacterized. The record is from RefSeq and is a predicted model, not a curated record. NCBI's taxonomy places the organism in Eukaryota, Metazoa, Chordata, Mammalia, Primates, Cebidae. The transcript has 5 exons.
AAUCAGCCAGUUAUAUGAUCUAAAAGGUAAUGCUUUUGUACCAAAUUACUCCUGCCUACUGCGGUGCACUUUUUAACGAAGCAGCCAGUGCCACCGGGAUCCCGGACAGUUCUCGCGUGCCGUUCUCCACGUACAAAGCCAACGGCCCCAUCUGCAACUUUGCUAACUUAGUUGGCUUCCGCCCAGCAGGCCCCCGAAGCACAGUCACUGUGAAAACGUUUUGAUAACAGAAAAUCAUUUCCACGACAGUGCAAGUGUUCGAAAGUACAAAGGCAGACACUGUCUACCCGCGACAGUUCGCAAGUUGCGGUGGCGGCGCGGCUGCGCGGAGCGUGCGUGCAGGAUUCUCUCCCCAGCCAUUGUGGUUUCAUGCCUUUGUACAGGCAGUGACAACUAAGGCUGACUGCUGCUGGCUGACAGCGAUUGUGGGCUGUAGUAUGACUUCAGAAAUAUUCAAAUGAGGGUAGAGUAACAUGGAAAGCGGAAAGCAGCUUUUAUUCACUCCAAGGACAAUGAACUGACAUACAACGAAGGGCAGAAUAAGUCUCUAGAGGCUCUUCCAAAUUAUUUACUAGCUCGAGUCUGCUCCCUCAAAAGGAGCCUUAGUGCCUAACAAAAGUGACCAUCCAUACGUGUUCGGGAAAUAAGCAUGGGCUUUGAUAACUAGGCAGUUUGACUUUCUAAGUGUUUAGACAAGCCGAGUAUCAGGUGUGUCCUCCUAUGAGAACAUCCAAUUUAAAUAAACAUCAAGGGUUCAGAGUAGACAAAUCCGAAGGUAAUUGUUUGCUUUACAAAAGGUUCUUUCUAUAAGGUCAUCCACAAGAUGCUUCUUUUUAUUGACCUUUCCCACGGUAAUAAUUUGCAAAACUGUAAUUAGAUUCAAUCUUUUCCAAAAAUAUAUGUUUC